AAACCGGGCGACCUACCCAUGAGCAGGAUGAAGCGAAAGUAAAAUUUCGUGGAGGUCCGAACCCACGAGCGUUGAAAAGCUCGGGGAUGACUUGUGGGUAGCGGUGAAAUUCCAAUCGAGCCCGGAGAUAGCUGGUUCUCCCCGAAAUAGCUUUAGGGCUAGCCUCAAGGUGAGAGAUACGGAGGUAGAGCACUGAAUGUCCUAGGGGGUAUUGCACCUACCGAAGACUAUCAAACUCCGAAUGCCGUCAUCUUAUACUUGGGAGUCAGACUGUGGGUGAUAAGAUUCAUAGUCGAAAGGGCAACAGCCCAGAUCGUCAGCUAAGGUCCCUAAAUGUAAGUUAAGUGGUAAAGGAUGUGGGAUUGCACAGACAACCAGGAUGUUGGCUUAGAAGCAGCCACUCAUUCAAAGAGUGCGUAAUAGCUCACUGGUCGAGUGAUCCUGCGCCGAAGAUUUCCGGGGCUAAAACUUACUACCGAAGCUACGGCAUCAGUAAUGAUGGGUAGGGGAGCUUCCCAUACGGGUUGAAGCAUGACCGUAAGGACAUGUGGACAGUAUGGGAGUGAGAAUGUUGGCAUGAGUAGCGAGAUGUGGGUG
RNAcentral lists this ribosomal RNA (597 nucleotides) under Clostridioides difficile. RNAcentral describes it as "partial 23S ribosomal RNA". It matches the Rfam family "Bacterial large subunit ribosomal RNA", at positions 718 to 1323 of the family's 2925-position model. The record is from RNAcentral. Lineage: Bacteria; Bacillati; Bacillota; Clostridia; Peptostreptococcales; Peptostreptococcaceae.